AGUUUGAUCCUGGCUCAGAAUCAACGCUGGCGGCGUGCCUCAGACAUGCAAGUCGAACGAUUAAAGCUCUCUUCGGAGAGUGCAUAGAGUGGCGCACGGGUGAGUAACACGUAAGUAAUCUACCCUCGAGUGGGGAAUAACAACCGGAAACGGUUGCUAAUACCGCAUAAUGCAGCGGCACCGCAAGGUGACAGUUGUUAAAGAUUUAUCGCUUGAGGAGGAGCUUGCGGCAGAUUAGCUAGUUGGUAAGGUAAUGGCUUACCAAGGCUACGAUCUGUAACCGGUCUAAGAGGACGGUCGGUCACACUGACACUGAAUAACGGGUCAGACUCCUACGGGAGGCAGCAGUCGGGAAUUUUGGGCAAUGGGCGAAAGCCUGACCCAGCAACGCCGCGUGAAGGAUGAAGUAUUUCGGUAUGUAAACUUCGAAAGAAUAGGAAGAAUAAAUGACGGUACUAUUUAUAAGGUCCGGCUAACUACGUGCCAGCAGCCGCGGUAAUACGUAGGGACCAAGCGUUGUUCGGAUUUACUGGGCGUAAAGGGCGCGUAGGCGGCGUGGUAAGUCACUUGUGAAAUCUCUGAGCUUAACUCAGAACGGCCAAGUGAUACUGCUGUGCUAGAGUGCAGAAGGGGCAAUCGGAAUUCUUGGUGUAGCGGUGAAAUGCGUAGAUAUCAAGAGGAACACCUGAGGUGAAGACGGGUUGCUGGGCUGACACUGACGCUGA
Molecule: ribosomal RNA, 725 nt
Filed under: uncultured bacterium
Lineage: Bacteria
Description: bacterial SSU rRNA
Rfam family: Bacterial small subunit ribosomal RNA
Source: RNAcentral